RNAcentral lists this ribosomal RNA (253 nucleotides) under uncultured bacterium. RNAcentral's name for it is "partial 16S ribosomal RNA". It matches the Rfam family "Bacterial small subunit ribosomal RNA", at positions 524 to 776 of the family's 1533-position model. The record is from RNAcentral.
UACGUAGGGUGCGAGCGUUAAUCGGAAUUACUGGGCGUAAAGCGUGCGCAGGCGGUUUUGUAAGUCAGAUGGGAAAUCCCCGGGCUUAACCUGGGAACUGCGUUUGAAACUACAAGGCUAGAGUGUGGCAGAGGGGGGUGGAAUUCCACGUGUAGCAGUGAAAUGCGUAGAGAUGUGGAGGAACACCGAUGGCGAAGGCAGCCCCCUGGGUUAACACUGACGCUCAGGCACGAAAGCGUGGGGAGCAAACAGG